GAUGGCCAUGUCAUGUUGAAACACCAGUUCUUGUACAAUCACCAAAGUUAAGCAACAUUGAGCCUGAUCAAUACCUAGAUUGGUGACUGCUUAGGAAUAUCAGGUGCUGUAA
This is a non-coding RNA of Acanthosepion pharaonis, 112 nucleotides long. The record is from the annotation of a GenBank genome assembly. NCBI's taxonomy places the organism in Eukaryota, Metazoa, Mollusca, Cephalopoda, Sepiida, Sepiidae.